This 429-nucleotide ribosomal RNA is filed under the name Actinomycetes bacterium. RNAcentral's name for it is "Actinobacteria bacterium partial 16S ribosomal RNA". It matches the Rfam family "Bacterial small subunit ribosomal RNA", at positions 355 to 776 of the family's 1533-position model. The record is from RNAcentral. Lineage: Bacteria; Bacillati; Actinomycetota; Actinomycetes.
UAGGGAAUCUUCCGCAAUGGGCGAAAGCCUGACGGAGCAACGCCGCGUGUGUGAUGAAGGUCUUCGUAUCGUAAAACUCUGUUAUUAGGGAAGAACAAAUGUGUAAGUAACUAUGCACGUCUUGACGGUACCUAAUCAGAAAGCCACGGCUAACUACGUGCCAGCAGCCGCGGAAAUACGUAGGUGGCAAGCGUUAUCCGGAAUUAUUGGGCGUAAAGCGCGCGUAGGGGGUUUUUUAAGUCUGAUGUGAAAGCCCACGGCUCAACCGUGGAGUGUCAUUUGAAACUGGAAAACUUGAGUGCAGAAGAGGAAAGUGGAAUUCCAUGUGUGGCACUGCGAUGCGCGGAGAUAUGGAUAAGCACCAGUGGCGAUGGCGACUUUCUGAUCUGUAACUGACGCUGAUGUGCGCCAGCGUGGGGAUCAAACACG